Molecule: non-coding RNA, 276 nt
Organism: Vicia faba (fava bean)
Lineage: Eukaryota; Viridiplantae; Streptophyta; Magnoliopsida; Fabales; Fabaceae
Source: the annotation of a GenBank genome assembly
AUGACAGGAUUCGGAUUCAAACCUUCCGUUAGCACGUCUAUCUAUUUGGCGUUGUACGGAUAUAACAGAGGUUUCCAUUAUUCAUUCUUCCCUCCAAACACCCGCUCCCAACAAAGCGGGUUCACCCCUUCUUCUCCAUUUUCGUUAACCACAAGAAAUGUGUUCAUUUGGUUGAUAAAAGGGGGUGAAUAUAGCACGGAGGGAGGUACGACUUCAAUUCAAAUUCAAAUUCAAACAGUUAAACCAUUUCAGAUUCUCUGUGUUCAUUUUUGUUAA